RNAcentral lists this ribosomal RNA (479 nucleotides) under uncultured bacterium. RNAcentral describes it as "bacterial SSU rRNA". It matches the Rfam family "Bacterial small subunit ribosomal RNA", at positions 8 to 467 of the family's 1533-position model. The record is from RNAcentral.
AGAGUUUGAUCCUNGNCUCAGAACUAACGCUAGUGGCGUGUUCUUAGUCAUGNGAGUCGAGCGAGAAANCCCUCUUCGGAGGGUGAGUAGAGCGGCAAACGGGUGAGUAACGCGUGGGUAAUCUACCUCCGAGUUGGGGAUAACACUCCCAACGGGGUGCUAAUACCGAAUUCGAUGUGACGGUCUCGGCCGCCACAUGAAAGAUGGCCUCUGCUUGCAAGCUGUCGCUCGGAGAUGAGCCAGCGUCCUAUUAGCUUGUUGGUGGGGUAAUGNCCUACCAAGGCGACGAUGGGUAGCCGGCCUGAGAGGGUGAACGGCCACACUGGCACUGAGACAAGGGCCAGUCCCCUACGGGGGCCAGCAGUCUAGAAAUUUGCACAAUCGCCGAAAGGCGGAUGCAGCGACGCCACGUGGAGGAUGAAGUCCUUCGGGGCGUAAACUCCUGUCAGAUGGGAAGAAGGCGCGGGUAUUAAUACCAC